UACGUAGGGGGCAAGCGUUGUCCGGAUUCAUUGGGCGUAAAGGGUGCGUAGGCGGCGCGGUAAGUCGGGUGUGAAAUCUUGGAGCUUAACUCCGAAACUGCAUUCGAUACUGCCGUGCUUGAGGACUGGAGAGGAGACUGGAAUUUACGGUGUAGCGGUGAAAUGCGUAGAUAUCGUAAGGAAGACCAGUGGCGAAGGCGGGUCUCUGGACAGUUCCUGACGCUGAGGCACGAAGGCCAGGGGAGCAAACGGG
This 253-nucleotide ribosomal RNA is filed under the name uncultured bacterium. Its description in RNAcentral is "partial 16S ribosomal RNA". It matches the Rfam family "Bacterial small subunit ribosomal RNA", at positions 524 to 776 of the family's 1533-position model. The record is from RNAcentral.